Molecule: long non-coding RNA, 7717 nt
Filed under: Podarcis lilfordi (Lilford's wall lizard)
Lineage: Eukaryota; Metazoa; Chordata; Lepidosauria; Squamata; Lacertidae
Source: RNAcentral
CACUCAAGCUGAGACUGAUACAGAAUCAUAUACUUCAAAAAAAAAUUCUAUAACUGGAGUGUCUUCAAAAUGAAAUUCCCAGUUUAGGGGGGAAAUUAUUAUUAUCAAUUUUCUUUACAAUCAUCAUCAUGUUGGUGAUAGCAAGAUGUGCCACUUUCCAUGGUAACCGGUAAAAACCGUCUUUUUGAAUAGCCACUUCAUUGCUUAAACAAUGAUCUAUAAUAAUCAAUGCAUGCUAUUUGCCAUCCUGGGAAACAGUUUAAUGUUCUAGUAACCCCCCACAACCACCACCCCCCCAGAAAUCAUUUACUAAACAUGCCUCCUGGAAAGCCUUUCGUAAACUUCUCUUGCAGAAAGCAAGAGAGGACAGGGAAUGCUCCAUGCUGAUGUCAUUCACUGGAUACCCUCAAUAUCGUUAGGAAUUCACCUAAUCAUGAAUACCCUUGACAGGCUUUCUUGGCAUUAUACUUUCAUUUUUAUUUUUAUUUAAUAGACAUGUAUUUUGAAGAGCAACGUGUUCUCAGAUAAACACAAACCCUGUUAUAUCUGCUUGCACUUAUAAAGGUAAAGGUAAAUAACCAACCCCUGGACGGUUAAGUCCAGUCAAAGGGGACUAUGGGGUGCGGUGCUCAUCUCACUUCAGGCCAAGGGAGCCGGGGUUUCUCCACAGACAGCUUUCUGGUUCAUGUGGCUAGCAUGACUAAACAGCUUCUGGCGCAACAGAACAUUGGUACCUAUUUCGGCCACGACUGGACCUAAUGGUCAGGGGUCCCUUUACCUUUACUAGUCCUCUUUACUGCCAAACUGCACUAAGCUAAGUCAAGAUUUGGUUUGGCAUGUUGUCAAAACUGGGACCUGUGGUGGUUAUGCUCUCUCCUCACCCAACAUGAGCUGUAGGUGAGAAAGAACCUUGGUGACAGCUUGAGAGACCUCAACCAGGAGUCCCAGUUUUACCUAAACCUUGACUUAGCCUUAGCAUAGCAUGGUGCAGCUACAAAAAGGACCAAGAGGAGCAAAGCAGCUGUAAGCUCCUCUCCAGAAGUUCAUACGUUCACAUGGUCUCACUACGCCACUAAGGUUUGGUUUACUGUGUUGUGCAAACUAGGCCUACAUCAAAUGAAGUCUUUACUGGCCCCUAAUGUUUUUAAUUCAUGCAGAAAAUGUGUUCGUACAUCUUCAUGCCCCUUUCCAAGUGCCUUGCUUGACUGCUGGCAGUCUUAGCCAUUAGCAACAUACUGUGUUUCCUUUUUCACCCCAGAUAUGUCAGAUAAACGCCACCUUCCAAAGGUGAAGUGAAAGUGAAAUUCUUAAUGAAUUUUUAAUUUUUAAACCAGUUCCCUUGUACAAAGGAGUCCCCUUGGAUUUCACAAGCAAUAUCUUGGCAAGGUUUGUUAUUUGUAAAAAUUAUCCAAGGGAACACAUUACUGAGUCUCUUGAGCACAAAACACUAAUAUCUAAUUUUAAAGCACAUUUUUGCAAAAUGUUAAUUAGGCCAUUUACAAAAAUACACUAUUAAAUUUCCAUUAAAGAUUUUUUUUAGGGCGGGAGAGCUGCUCAGCCUUGAAUGUAUUAUAUUGGCCAAUAUUUCCUUCCUGGGAAAGUGAUUUGUAAGGUGAAUGACUCCUUUUCCCUCACCAGUAAAGAUCACUGUAUCCCUUUUCAGGUCUAAAAAGGGAGAAAUAAAUGUUCCUCUUGCUCCCCAAAGAUGGCUUAAUUAGUUUAUACCUUCAAUUUAAUGACCAGUGUACAUAAUUUAAAGUGCAAAUUGAGUUUAUCUUCAUCUACUGCUCUUUGACAUUUAAUGUAUUACGUAUUAGAUUAUAAACUGGGUGAUGACUCAGUUGUUGCACCCCAUAUUAUGUGGACACCAGUGGAGAAUAAAGAAUUCUGAAUGGAGUGAAAUGUUUGGGGGGGGGGAUGUGAAUUGUGAAAUAUUCCCUAUCCCUACCUCCAAAGAAGCUCAACUGUGCCUUUUAAAUCACUCCCUCCAUGGCUUCUUCGUAGGCAUCACAGUCAUAGCAGAAAUGAGUUGUAGUACAGAAUCCUUGGGCAAUGUGACAGCUUUUCCCAUGCUGUGCUAUAGUGCCAAUUUUAUUGUUUUUAGUUUUCUGCCAUUUUGGAGAGGAGGAGUGAAGACUGUUGCUAAGAGAUGUUGCUCUUGACUGUUCCGUCCUCCCUCCCUGUUGUCAAGAAGGGUUGCAAAGGGUACUCUGGGCUUCUGGACUCAUUGGUCCUUCCUUCUUUUUCCUUCCCUCUCCAUUAUCGGAGACACCAGGUCCCUUUAAUUUUUAAAGGGCAGAAUUUGUGAUUAUUCAGAGAUGUAAUGAAAUCAGAACAGAGGUAUGAGAGGUGUUGGGUGAUGGCUGUUUUUUGGGUGGGCUUUCUUCUUUUUUUAAAAAAUAACAGGGUCAUUUGGAAAAGUUGGGUUCCCAGCCAGGCAAUAACUGGAAGUGUGCAGCUCAGCAGUUGAAAACUCUAAUGAAAAACUGGCCAUGGAAGUAGCAUGGAAAGAAGGGGAGGAGGUGGGAAGAGACUGCCUCUUGCUGCAGAAUUCAUGGAAACUUUGAAGAAUGCUGUUCACGAGCCCUUCCAAAAUCAGUUCAUUAAGCAGGCCAAAUGUCCCUUUGGAUUUUCCAUGCAUCUGGCAAGACCAGAUUUUCGCCAAAAAAAAGCCAUGGAACUACGUGAAUAGCUCUCAGACAUGGAGAAUCAAAAGGUGCAGAAAGCGAAAGUAUGGCUGGGUCCUUACGCUGACUCAUAAGUUCAGGCUGUGAGAUAAGACUGUUGGUAUAAGAAAUGAUUAAUUUAUCUAUAAGUCAGUGGAACAUGGGAGUUUGCAGGUGUGUGUGUGUGUGUGUGUGCAUGUUGAAAGUCAAUUGCAACAAUCUGGAAUGACUUCCUCAUUUGGAACAGCCCCAUUUGCCUUUUUGACACCAAUGAUUCAAUCAACUUACCUUUUUAAUUACACCAGCACCUGUUUGUUUCUCCUUAAGGGCAGGACAUUUUCCAUUCUCUGGCACAGACGAGGUGCUGACUAUGUUUAAAAUUAGCUUCCGUCCUCUGUCCUCUUGUGUUUUCUCCAUAAUGAAAUGAUAGCAGCCCUCUUCAAGAGCCAUAACUUGUAUGGUAAAGGAGCACAAAUUGCUAUGCACAGAUUGAAGCUACCAGUAUGCUUUUUUACUUUUCUUCUGUUCCUUUCCUAUCUCCUACUUUCUCUCUGUCUCUGCCUCUUUCUCACACACAUACACACCAGUUACGAUGGGAUAUUUAAAUAUCCUCCCAGUUUCAGAAACUGAGAGAAUAUUAUUUGGUUCCCUUUUAAAGUAUUAACUUUUUUUUUUUUCUAUUUGUCAUAUAUCACCCUCCUUAGCUUUGCUCAAUCAAAUCAUUUGUAAAGAUGGGUCUAAAUUAUGUAUAUUUUUAUGACAGUAAUUUCUGAUACAAGGAUAAAUACCUGUUGCUUUAGCAUCAUCUCUCUUUUUUAUCCACUCCAUUGAUUGUGGUAUUUUUAAGCUACUGCUUAUGUAGAUAAAAAUGAAAUCAUUCAAAUAAAGCUUAUGUAGAGAGCAAUCCUAUUUGUUUUAUUUUAAUUUUUAUUGAGCAAAAUGUAUAUGCCACUUGAUUGUGAGAAAAACUAUAAGAGACUUACAUUUUUUGGUUAAAAAAAUAGUUAAAGCAGCUAUGCAGAAACAUUCAAAAGAUGAUUAAAACCAACAGUAGCUAAGAAGAGAUAAAACACAUGUUGAGCACCCUGAAGCCCAUGAGAUAUUAUCAAGGUAGCUUCACUGAUAGAAAUGGCAGUGGUGGAAAGAUUGCUGAAAGUCCAGCAUAGGGGACACAGAUAGGGUGGUUUGUGGGAGGGGGGUCAGGGUGGGCCAAAGAUGUGCAGGUAUUUGGGCUCCAUUAUAACCUGGACAUAUCCCCAGAGUUAGAAACUACACCAGCCCAAGGACUGGUAAAUUCCAUCUCUUUGGAAGCAGUGGCGGCGGUGGCAGGGGGAACUGCCCCCCUCUGUCUUGCACUGGCUGGCAUGAAGCAGCAGAGCUUAGGCAAUGGUAGUAAUUUUGCCCUGUAUCUCACCCUGCCCCGAUGCACAUAUGUGCUUACACACUGGUAGGAUUGCUCUGGAAAUGUUUGCACAAAAUGCAACGUCUAGGGGUGAGUUGGCACACUAUUGUAGAUCCAUUAAGAAGAUGUGCACACUAUGCCCUUAUCUCCAGCCAACAAACGGCUACAAAUGCAGCAUGGUUCAGUUUCAGGACCACAGAGUCACUGCUAACCUUUGGGGCCACCUCCACUCUGCAGUGUCACCUAGUCCUCAUUGCAUCUUCCUUUGCCUUUAUAACCUCUCAAGGGUCAGCUCUCUCUCUAAAUGACAAUAGCUGAUGUCCAACCUGAACUUCUCUUUUAACACAACAGUUUUUGGUUUUUUUUGCUGAGAGACACUUAUUAUUUUUGUGGACUCUUCAUUUAUCACUCUGAUUCUCUCCAUUCCACAACACUUCUCAGAAACCAUAAUUGAUUAGUUCCACCAUUUCCUUAAGAAAAGAUUAUUUGCAGCCACUCAUCUUCAUUGAUGUCACCUUAGAAUAAAGCACUAAUUAAUCUCUGUCUGCCCUGUUAAGUUUUCAACCUAAACCCAUAAAUAAAGACAAUAGUGAUUAAAAUCAUUUGCACUUUAAAUCUCUGGUCCUAUAGAUACAGAGAGUUGCAGUGGAACAGAAAAAAAAUUACCUCUCUGUCUCUUUCUUGCCAGUGUGAGCUAGUGUAGUACAGCACAUGCUUUAUCUUCAUAACAUAGUAGGUUUGAUCCAUAAGAUCGCCAGUCAAAAGGGUCAGAUAGUUGGACGAUGCAAAAGCCCUCUCUGCUUGUGUUCCCCAACAACUGGUAUUUCAAGGUAGUACACAGUCAUCUUGACAAGUGACCAUUGAAACCCUGAUCCUCCAUGAAUUUAUCUCACCCUAUUUUUAGAAAGUUGUCAGAGUCUUUAAAGGUCAGCAGCAAGACGACUAGUGACAAAAAAAGAGCAAAGCUAAGGAGUAUUCCCAUUGUACUUGUCUCCCAUUCAGCAGUGGGGAGCAUGAGAUGGAAUGGGGCAAGAAAUCCCUGUGGUUGUUUUUGGUUGAAUUCUAGGAAACGGGCGGCAAUAAGGAGGACAGGAAUAGUAUGCCCUGAAGCAAAACGAAAGCUUCACCAGUGAGAUAGCACAGAAUAAAGUGCCAGUAGAAGUUUUUGGGCAGCAGCUCUCAAUAUCUUACUUGAUGGAAUAACACCCCUCACCACCAUAUAGGAGUAUUAUUCUCGUGCGGGUGUGAUUUCUGGUUUGUUUUUGCUUUCUGUUCUGUGUUUUGUGGUGACCUCUUGCCACAGCGAAUGUGUGACUUAAACUGUUUGCCUAAGGGCAUUUCUGUAGGAGGGUGGACAGCCCGUUGUCUGAAAGAUCAUAUUCAAAACACUGGAGGAAAGAUAAUGAUUCUGAGAGAAAAAUCAGUCUUCAGUAAUCAAGCAAGGGUUGAAAGGAAUGUAUUAAGAGCAGAUUCAGACAACUGCUAAUGACAUGGUAAAUGCUUAAAAGCUGUCAGUUCUAGGUACCAUCUGUGGAUAUCAAUCAAGAAGUAGGACUUGUAUUGCCAAGGGAACACACAAGAAGCUACUUUAUGUCAAUUCAAGCCAUUGGUCCACCUAGUUCAGUAAUGUCAACACCGACUGGUAACAGCUGUCACGAUAUUUAGCUGGUGAUACAUUGUGAUGUUGAAAACCACAUAUUGCCCAGCCCUAAUCUCCAUUCAUGCAAAUGAAACCCCAGCAAAUGUUAAAAUCCUAACCCCUGUGGAUCAGGCACACAUAAGCAGUCACUGUAUGGGCAUCGUGGAAGGUUCUUAAACUCAGACGUGCAAUCAAAGUAUAUUUUUAGGAUCUUUCACCCAGCGGCAUAGCGUGGGUUGUCAGCACCCGGUGCAAGGCAAGUAAUUUGCGCCCCCUAACCCCUAACCUGCCGCCGCUGCCAGCUUCUUCUUGCUGCUGCCUGGGCUGGUCUCGUGUGGUUCUCUCCCGCGCUCAGCGCUGCGCUGGGCAGCCGCUGCACUGUCCCUCCCCCAGAUAGUCCUUCGCUCUCUCUCCGCACCGCAUGCCUGGCACCCACCCCCUCCACAGUGGGCGGCGACCCAGCGGCUCGGAUCGGAUUCGCACAGCCAGCACUGCAGUGAGAGAGAGUGAGUGAGCCAGGUAGGGACAGAGAGCUGCGAGUGCGAGCGCCCCCCCCCCCGAUGUUGCGCCCGGUGCGGCCGGCACCCCCUGCACCCCCCACGCUACGCCACUGCUUUCACCUCAACUUUGCUAGCAGAUUGCUGAAAACCGAUGCAAAUUUUUCUGAAAACAUGCCAAGAGACUGCUAGUAAAAUAUUUACAACUAACUUUAAGAUGGAAAUAUGUCUUCCUUAUUGAGCUGUAACUUUGCUUUGAAAUAGAUUUGUAGAAGGAACAGAUUUAUUUUAGUACAAAUGUCAAGCUGCUUUUGCUGUACAUUCUCCAGGGGCUAUUUUGUAUUAAUUUUUAUUCAAAAGUGUAAUUCUUUUUUUUAAAAAAAUGAGGGAAAGAAGAGCAGCUAUCUAUCUGUCACUUCUAUAUUGUGCCCUUUUAUUAUGUGCUGUGACAUAUGGACGUUAUUUAUUUUGAGUUAUUUAUUACAAACUGUGUAAUUCAAACAUAUAGGGUACAGUAUUUCAGGCACUAUAUAUGGGCUGCAGUUUAAUGUUUUUCUAAAGAUAUCACCUGGGAAGAUAUCUAUAUCUAUAUGGCAGUUAUUGAAAGUGGUUGGGUAGCAUUUCCAGGGGAGAGAUUAUGGGAGAAAUAUUUAAAAACUCCUGUGCAAUCUGGCUCCCAGAAUCUACCCCCAAACCCCCAGCCAGCCUAACUUCCAGUCUUGGAACCAUGAGGGGGAAAGAAGAGGUGUGUGACUUUGAGGAGAGGUUGUAGAGGAGAAUCGGGACCCUCCAGAUGUGCUUUUUUAUUCUGCAAUCAUGAUCAUUUGUGCACCUAAUGUUAGCCACAUCUGCGCUAUACAUUUGAAGCAGUAUCAUACCACUUUAAACAAUUCAGCCAAAGAAUCCUGGGAACUGUAGUUUGUUAAGGGUGCUGAGAAUUGCCAGGUGUCCCCCAUUCCUCUCAAACAGCUGCAAUUUCCCUGGGAAAAGGUACUGAUUUUUAAACCACCCUAAAAAUCGCAGCUCCGUGAUUUAUUCUUAGCACCUUCUACAAACUACGGUCUCCAAGAUUUUGUAAGGGAAGGCAUGACUGUUUAAAGCGAUAUGCUACUGCUUUAAAUGUUCAGUGUAGGUAUAAACAGCAGAACGUAUCAUUUGAUGUAAUAAACAAGAAAUGGAAGCUGAGGGACGUCAACAGGGAGGGAAGAAUGAAAAACUAAUGUUUAGUAUUGAUAUUGGAUACAGUGGGUGCUCGGGUUGCGAACGUGAUCCGUGCGGGAAGCACGUUUGCAACCCGCAGCAUUCGCAACCCACAGCGCCACAUCUGUGCACACACGGGUCGCGAUUCGGUGCUUCUGCGCAUGCGCAAAGCGCGAUUUAGCACUUCUGCGCAUGCGCGAACACUGAAACCCGGAAGUAACCAUUCCGGUACUUCCAGGUUCGGCACUGUGCGCAACCCGAAAACGCACAACCUGAAGCGUCUGUAACCUGAGGUAUGACUGUAUUUGUUUUG